GCCCAGAUGGGAUUAGCUAGUAGGUGGGGUAACGGCUCACCUAGGCGACGAUCCCUAGCUGGUCUGAGAGGAUGACCAGCCACACUGGAACUGAGACACGGUCCAGACUCCUACGGGAGGCAGCAGUGGGGAAUAUUGCACAAUGGGCGCAAGCCUGAUGCAGCCAUGCCGCGUGUGUGAAGAAGGCCUUCGGGUUGUAAAGCA
This 204-nucleotide ribosomal RNA is filed under the name Klebsiella pneumoniae. RNAcentral describes it as "partial 16S ribosomal RNA". It matches the Rfam family "Bacterial small subunit ribosomal RNA", at positions 229 to 432 of the family's 1533-position model. Lineage: Bacteria; Pseudomonadati; Pseudomonadota; Gammaproteobacteria; Enterobacterales; Enterobacteriaceae. The record is from RNAcentral.